RNAcentral lists this long non-coding RNA (456 nucleotides) under Phoenix dactylifera (date palm). RNAcentral describes it as "long non-coding RNA (PDAC_LNC016204)". Lineage: Eukaryota; Viridiplantae; Streptophyta; Magnoliopsida; Arecales; Arecaceae. The record is from RNAcentral.
AUGAAUGAGGCAUCUUUUUUUUAAUAAUAAAUUUUUUUAAUAAGUAUAAAAUAUUUAAAAAAAUGAUAUGAAAAUAGAUAGCUAUCAAGUACACUAUUUCAAUAAAGAUACAUGAAUCUAAUAAAGAUAGGCAAGAAACCUUUUUAAUUUAAUAUUAUUUUUGAAUGAAAGUAUAGAAAAGUAAUUAUCCUAAAAGAAGGGCCAUGAAACUGAUUAAAUAACUGAGAUAAUGCUUGGCAAUACUGUUUACCAUGUCAAGCAAGAGCCGAAUAGGAAAAGGCCAUCCCAUGGCACUUCAUGGUCAAGGUAAAGAAAAGAAUUUGUCCAUAAAAGAAUCUCUCUAUGAGAGAAAGUAGGGUCAUUAUGGAAAAUUCACUCCAUCUAAUUAAUAAAAGUCCCAUCCCACCAUCUCCCCUUCAAGUGAGUACCCAAGCAGCAGCCGCAACAUCACAGCAC